CAGGAGAUGAUCUGCAACGUCGACGCCGACCGCGACGGCCGCGUCGACUUCAGCGAGUUCAAGAACAUGAUGCAGGGGAUCACCGUGUGGGGCGCCUAGCUGCAGCACUCCUGCGUCGUGUUGCCAUGUAUGUAUGUAUCUAGGCAGCGCUUCUCUUCAACCCGGUGCUUCUUCUUCUUGAUCGCGCAGUGGAUUCGUCUUGUUCUUGAUUUUGCUCCGUUUAUGGUCGUAGUCUUCAGAAUUUGGGGCAACAACAAAGCCCCACAGGCAUUGUUUCCUGUUCUUGAUUUAUUUAACCACAUUAUAUUACACAUGUAAGAAGAACGUUGACCUUGACCGCUUCCCUCCAAGUUGAUCUUCCUUCACUUUCUUGGUGCUUUCGCUCACCUAUGCCUCUCCCUCACUCUAUCGGCGUGUCUACAUAUUCAGAUGCGUCACUUGAAAAGGUUCUUUUUAGAAAACAUAGCAGUUUCGUCAUUUGAAAGCGUUCCUUUUGUAUAUACUUUUGCCCCUCAUUUUUCCGUGAAUCAGUGUUUAAGUGAAUGAAUUAGCCAAAAAAAUAAAAUAAAAUAAAA
This 575-nucleotide long non-coding RNA is filed under the name Setaria viridis. Its description in RNAcentral is "long non-coding RNA (SVIR_LNC011294)". Lineage: Eukaryota; Viridiplantae; Streptophyta; Magnoliopsida; Poales; Poaceae. The record is from RNAcentral.